Molecule: long non-coding RNA, 469 nt
Organism: Daphnia carinata
Lineage: Eukaryota; Metazoa; Arthropoda; Branchiopoda; Diplostraca; Daphniidae
Exons: 2
Source: RefSeq, a predicted model, not a curated record
UAGCUGUGUUGAUGAGCCUGUUGCCUCCUUAAAAUAGGAACGUCUAUCGUAUAUAAAUAGCCCAGCCCUAAAUGCGACGCCUUGUGAAAAGAAACUUCCAAAGGCCGGAAAAGAUCGGGGGCGCCAUUGGUGCUAAAUAAAAGGAAAACAAAAAAGCGUUACGAACGAAGUAUAUAUAAUUUCGUACCAGUUGCUCCAAUUCGAGUUCGUCGAAACAACUUUUUCACCUUUCUUUAUCCUUCAGGUAACAACAAUAAUUUUCCAAUGGCCCGGAAGUGGUAGGGCCUUUCCUGUGAUCACCUUGUUCUCUUCCAUGCCAUGGGGUGUAAAGUUCGUGUGCCAUCCGCCUUCUAGAAAGAAUUAUGGGAGAGAAAACGACGCACGAUGAAUUUUAUGACCGGAACAACGGUUCGCUUUGCCCAAACCCAGGUUAUCAACUGAAAUCUUGGGAGAUUGCCAAAAGGUUUUU